UACCAUACUCCCAAACCCGAGUCAAGGC
This 28-nucleotide non-coding RNA is filed under the name Homo sapiens (human). The record is from RNAcentral. Lineage: Eukaryota; Metazoa; Chordata; Mammalia; Primates; Hominidae.